Molecule: ribosomal RNA, 434 nt
Filed under: uncultured bacterium
Lineage: Bacteria
Description: bacterial SSU rRNA
Rfam family: Bacterial small subunit ribosomal RNA
Source: RNAcentral
AUCCUGGCUCAGAUUGAACGCUGGCGGCAUGCUUUACACAUGCAAGUCGAACGGCAGCACGGGUGCUUGCACCUGGUGGCGAGUGGCGGACGGGUGAGUAAUACAUCGGAACGUAUCCUAAAGUGGGGGAUAACGCAUCGAAAGAUGUGCUAAUACCGCAUACACUCUGAGGAGGAAAGUAGGGGAUCGAAAGACCUUAUGCUUUUGGAGCGGCCGAUGUCUGAUUAGCUAGUUGGUAAGGUAAUGGCUUACCAAGGCAACGAUCAGUAGUUGGUCUGAGAGGACGACCAGCCACACUGGGACUGAGACACGGCCCAGACUCCUACGGGAGGCAGCAGUGGGGAAUUUUGGACAAUGGGCGCAAGCCUGAUCCAGCAAUGCCGCGUGAGUGAAGAAGGCCUGGUGUAAGACUCUUCUAGUUGAGAAGAAAAGAA